This is an RNA transcript of Oncorhynchus gorbuscha (pink salmon), 3799 nucleotides long. RefSeq lists it as uncharacterized. NCBI's taxonomy places the organism in Eukaryota, Metazoa, Chordata, Actinopteri, Salmoniformes, Salmonidae. The record is from RefSeq and is a predicted model, not a curated record. The transcript has 3 exons.
UGAGGGAGAUAAAAGUCUCCAACUUCAGCGAUUUUUGCAAUUCGUUCCAGUCACAGGCAGCAGAGUACUGGAACGAAAGGCGGCCGAAUGAGGUGUUGGCUUUAGGGAUUAGUGCUGAAGGUUUUAGGUUUAGUAUGGAGGCCGGAAACGGAUGACUUUGUGUUUGACCUCAGGCCGUUACUGAGCAUUCUAAGGCAAAAUCAAAACACAAAGAGAAGUGUUCUGCAGUCGUCUGCACGUAUCUUUGACCCUCUUGGUUUCUUAACUCCCUUCACCAUCAGGAUCAAGUGCAUGUUCCAGGAAAUGUUGGAGAGGGGACUCAGCUGGGACGAAGAAUUACCACCUGAUCUGACACGAGAAUGGCAACAGUGGUGUUCAGAACUAACCCAGUUACACCAGCUCACCAUACCAAGGUGGUACAGAACAGACAUGCGGCCACAGAGUAGCCACACCCUGAAGCUACACGUGUUCUGUGAUGCAAGUGAAAGGGCUUACAGUGCAGUAGCUUACUUGCAAGGUGAGUCACAAGACAGGGAAACAACAAGUCUAGUCGCAUCCAAGUCCAGGGUAGCCCCACUUAAGAAAAUGACGCUGCCAUGCCUGGAGCUCAUGGGAGCUGUGAUUGGAGCGAGACUAGCAAACAACUUGAUGACCACACUGAAAAUGGAAGAAAAACAGAUCAAAAUGUGGACAGACUCAAUGAUCGUGCUGCAUUGGAUUUGCAGCUCAGCUCAGAAAUGGAAAGAGUUUGUUGCGAACAGAGUGACGGAGAUCCAGUCCUUGACCAAUCCACAGUCAUGGUCACAUAUUGAAGGGAAAGCUAAUCCAGCUGACCUCCCUACCAGAGGACAAACUGUUUGAAACUUGACACAGAGCGAGUUAUGGUGGAAUGGACCCAGAAUUCUGACAUCACCCAAUCAGUCCGAAGAGACUGAUGAUAACAAGGUUCCGGAUGAGGUGAAUAUAGAACUCAAGUCCAGUUGCCAGGUUACUGUACAACUCGCAGCAAGCAGCACAGACCGCACUGAACCUGUGUUGGAGCUUGAAAGGUACAGCAAACUGAAAAGAGUGUUCAGAGUCACCGCCUGGAUAAAGAGAUUCAUAGCCAAUGCUCGCACAACCGUAAAGAUGCAAGGUGAACUGACUGCUGACGAACUGUUCGAUGCAGAAAGGUACUGGAUUAAGGUAACACAACAACAGAGUUUCGGACAGGAGAUCAAACUACUGAAGGCAGGAAAAAGCCUAAACAAUGACUGUAAAAUCGGAGAACUGAAAUCUUUCCUGGAACAUGAACUACUCAGUGUAGGAGGAAGACUGCAACAGUCCAACUUCACAUUCAGAGAGGAGCAUCCAUGGGUUCUGCCCAAUAAGUACAGAUACUCAGAAAUGCUGAUACAGUACCACCAUGAGAAGGUGAUGCAUUCUGGAGCAAGUGACACUCAGCACCCAACGUUAAACAAGCGGGAAAUGAGACGCAGAUGGAAGUACAGGCAGAGACUUGUGACCAGUUUCUGGAACAGUUGGCGAAGAGACUACUUGCUGGAUCUAAAGUCAGCACGCCGCUGUGAUACACCACAGCCCACCCCACUGAAGGCGGGUGACGUUGUACUCAUUGGAGAAGAUAACACACCCAGACAAACCUGGAAACUAGGAAAGAUUGAGGAACCGUUUCCAGGCCGAGAUGGCUUAGUUAGAUCAUGUUCAGUUCGUACUGCUUCAGGGACUUUGUUGAGGAGACCUAUUCAGUUGAUAUACUGCCUAGAGAUCUAGAUGAACACAAUUGUUCAUCGGGGGGGGAGGAUGUUGUAACUUUAAUGUGUUAGAGUUGAUGUUUAAGUGUAUUCUUUGAGCUGUAUCUGUAAAGAUAUUUCUUUAGAUUUAUUUGCAUAUGUAAUUGUAUUGGGUUGUGUUGAAUUACGCUUUUUGACUGCAAGUCCCAGAAUGCCUUGCGAGAUAAAUGAGUGAUAACGCGCCAAUUAUGUGCAGGUGCGAGUUGAUUGUGGCUGACUUUCCGACAGCAUGGCCUAACGACAUUAAAUUCCGGUAAUACAAAAUUGGGGAACAGGUAAAUUACUCUGCCAACUAUUAUCCUUCAAAAAGAAAACACCACCCCAUUCCACUAUUUAACCCUAUCUAAUCCUACUCCAGGCCCACAGUCUGGGAGGACAGAACACUACCACUCAACACCUCCUGCGAAUCUUCUGCAGUAAAAACUUGCAAUCCCAAGUACUUCUCUUCAGCUGCCAGCACAUCCUCUAUUUUCUGUGACUAACGUCCCAUUUCUGCAGUACAGUUGACAACCAUAGCUAUGAAAGCUAAGAAACCCACUUUACUCAGGGACAUGUUAUUCUCAACCUCUUCAUUGGUCUCUGCCUACUCACACGAAUACUCUCAAUAUCCAUCACCCUGUACCCAUCCUCCUCUACCACUCUUUUCCCUGCUUCAGCAUAAAACACUUUCUGUAAUACUCUGACCAUGGCAACCUCAACAUGCUUUUCUUUCACCAGACACCAGAAACCUCUGUGCUCCAAUCCCAUGGUCACCCCACAGCUUACCCAGAAAUGAUGAUCACUCAACUCCACUACAAGUGUCAACUCUCUCCUUAUUUGAACUGAAGCCAUGUCUCAUGUGCCCUCUCAUCCACUGGCACAUUGAAUGCUUCUUCUCCAAGCACUUCAGAUCCUGUCCUGUCCUCAGUGGAAGAGUUUAUCCCUCCUCCAAUACCAUCCAUUCACGAUGAGGCUUGUCCAGCAUUGAAGCCUCUGAACACCUCAAUCCCUGUCCUGCACUGAAAUCAAGCCUCCGAACACUUAAACGUAUGCCUCAUUCUGUGAUCAUUCCUUCCCAAUACUAUGUAGUAGCCCCCUCAUUCCCAUUCCCAAUAAUAUUUUGCUAUACAUGUAUUUAUGAAAGGUCAGCAACCUUCCCGCUAGCCAUGAUUGCCUGAGAUGAGUGGACUGGAUAUGCCGAGAGAUGUGCUUGGAUUGUUCUGCCAUAUAGCAUUCCUCUCUCGAAUUAGGUAAUCCUGUGUAUCACGUAGUAAAACUGCAUAGGUGUUGCUCUCUACUUUCUGGAGGACCGACUUUUGAAAUCAGUGGAAUUCAAUUAUGAGAGCGAAGGAGAUGGAGAAAACACCUGUCUCUAGAUUACAUCUCCAAACUAAGGGAAACCAUGGCAUCUGUGACAGGACACAUGUUCAUCUAUGAGUCUAGCCUAGCGAGCUACAUUUUCAGUUAUUACACGUUUCUAAUUUUGACAGAAAGGGGUUUCAUUUCAUGUUAAAGUGUACUGUUAGCUAGCUAACAUUAGCUGGCUGGCUUGCUAGCUAAAGUUACGUGUAUGAGCUUAUUAUUCGUAUCUCAGAGGGAUUUGCUUGACUAGAUACAGCCUAAUCUUAGCGAGCUGACAUUGAACCUGGAUGGUUAGCUAGCUGCAGAUUCAUGUAGGGUAGUAAUGUCAUGAGUUGGGAUUAUGGUUUAUUGUUUAGCUAGUUGGCUAGCUACAUGUCUAAACAAAAGACUCCACUAUGUAAGUAACCAUUUCAGGUAUGUUCGUAAAUUCAGUCUGGUCAUCUACUCCGAUUUCAGAGCACUCUCGUCUGAGUGUGCCAGAGUGCAGAAUAACUGAUGUGUAGCCGGUGUCAUUAAAGGUUGGCAAAAACGCAUAAUUAAAAUGUUGCCAGUGUAACAGUAUAACUUUAGACCGUCCCCUCGCCCAUACCCGGGCGCGAACCAGGGACCCUCUGCACACAUCAACAACAGUCACCCACGAAGCAUUGUUAACCAUCGCUCCACAAAAG